UACGAAGGGGACUAGCGUUGUUCGGAAUUACUGGGCGUAAAGCGCACGUAGGCGGAUUUGUUAGUCAGGGGUGAAAUCCUGGGGCUCAACCUCAGAACUGCCUUUGAUACUGCAAGUCUAGAGUCCAGAAGAGGUGAGUGGAAUUCCUAGUGUAGAGGUGAAAUUCGUAGAUAUUAGGAAGAACACCGGUGGCGAAGGCGGCUCACUGGUCUGGUACUGACGCUGAGGUGCGAAAGCGUGGGGAGCAAACAGG
This 253-nucleotide ribosomal RNA is filed under the name uncultured bacterium. Its description in RNAcentral is "partial 16S ribosomal RNA". It matches the Rfam family "Bacterial small subunit ribosomal RNA", at positions 524 to 776 of the family's 1533-position model. The record is from RNAcentral.